This 497-nucleotide ribosomal RNA is filed under the name uncultured bacterium. Its description in RNAcentral is "partial 16S ribosomal RNA". It matches the Rfam family "Bacterial small subunit ribosomal RNA", at positions 28 to 507 of the family's 1533-position model. The record is from RNAcentral.
GAUGAACGCUGGCGGCGUGCCUAAUGCAUGCCAGUCGAGCGAACAGACGAGGAGCUUGCUCCUCUGACGUUAGCGGCGGACGGGUGAGUAACACGUGGAUAACCUACCUAUAAGACUGGGAUAACUUCGGGAAACCGGAGCUAAUACCGGAUAAUAUAUUGAACCGCAUGGUUCAAUAGUGAAAGACGGUUUUGCUGUCACUUAUAGAUGGAUCCGCGCCGCAUUAGCUAGUUGGUAAGGUAACGGCUUACCAAGGCGACGAUGCGUAGCCGACCUGAGAGGGAGAUCGGCCACACUGGAACUGAGACACGGUCCAGACUCCUACGGGAGGCAGCAGUAGGGAAUCUUCCGCAAUGGGCGAAAGCCUGACGGAGCAACGCCGCGUGAGUGAUGAAGGUCUUCGGAUCGUAAAACUCUGUUAUUAGGGAAGAACAAAUGUGUAAGUAACUAUGCACGUCUUGACGGUACCUAAUCAGAAAGCCACGGCUAACUACGUG